UACGUAGGGGGCAAGCGUUGUCCGGAAUUAUUGGGCGUAAAGCGCGCGCAGGCGGCUGUUUAAGUCUGGUGUUUAAGCCCGGGGCUCAACCCCGGUUCGCACUGGAAACUGGAUGGCUUGAGUGCAGAAGAGGAGAAUGGAAUUCCACGUGUAGCGGUGAAAUGCGUAGAGAUGUGGAGGAACACCAGUGGCGAAGGCGACUCUCUGGGCUGUAACUGACGCUGAGGCGCGAAAGCGUGGGGAGCAAACAGG
This 252-nucleotide ribosomal RNA is filed under the name uncultured bacterium. Its description in RNAcentral is "partial 16S ribosomal RNA". It matches the Rfam family "Bacterial small subunit ribosomal RNA", at positions 524 to 776 of the family's 1533-position model. The record is from RNAcentral.